GACAGUUACAGCUCUUUUAGAAUUUGUCUAGCAGGCUUUCUGGUUUUUAUCAGAAAGCCUCC
Small nuclear RNA from Homo sapiens (human), 62 nucleotides. NCBI's taxonomy places the organism in Eukaryota, Metazoa, Chordata, Mammalia, Primates, Hominidae. The record is from Ensembl.